This 465-nucleotide ribosomal RNA is filed under the name uncultured Klebsiella sp. RNAcentral describes it as "bacterial SSU rRNA". It matches the Rfam family "Bacterial small subunit ribosomal RNA", at positions 338 to 795 of the family's 1533-position model. Lineage: Bacteria; Pseudomonadati; Pseudomonadota; Gammaproteobacteria; Enterobacterales; Enterobacteriaceae. The record is from RNAcentral.
CCUACGGGUGGCAGCAGCGGGGAAUAUUGCACAAUGGGCGCAAGCCUGAUGCAGCCAUGCCGCGUGUGUGAAGAAGGCCUUCGGGUUGUAAAGCACUUUCAGCGGGGAGGAAGGCGGUGAGGUUAAUAACCUCAUCGAUUGACGUUACCCGCAGAAGAAGCACCGGCUAACUCCGUGCCAGCAGCCGCGGUAAUACGGAGGAUGCAAGCGUUAAUCGGAAUUACUGGGCGUAAAGCGCACGCAGGCGGUCUGUCAAGUCGGAUGUGAAAUCCCCGGGCUCAACCUGGGAACUGCAUUCGAAACUGGCAGGCUAGAGUCUUGUAGAGGGGGGUAGAAUUCCAGGUGUAGCGGUGAAAUGCGUAGAGAUCUGGAGGAAUACCGGUGGCGAAGGCGGCCCCCUGGACAAAGACUGACGCUCAGGUGCGAAAGCGUGGGGAGCAAACAGGAUUAGAUACCCGUGUAGUC